UAAAGAUUCAUCGCUGAUAGAUAGGCAUGCGUUCCAUUAGGCAGUUGGCGGGGUAACGGCCCACCAAACCGACGAUGGAUAGGGGUUCUGAGAGGAAGGUCCCCCACAUUGGUACUGAGACACGGACCAAACUCCUACGGGAGGCAGCAGUGAGGAAUAUUGGUCAAUGGGCGUAAGCCUGAACCAGCCAAGUCGCGUGAGGGAUGAAGGUUCUAUGGAUCGUAAACCUCUUUUAUAAGGGAAUAAAGUGCGGGACGUGUCCCGUUUUGUAUGUACCUUAUGAAUAAGGAUCGGCUAACUCCGUGCCAGCAGCCGCGGUAAUACGGAGGAUCCGAGCGUUAUCCGGAUUUAUUGGGUUUAAAGGGUGCGUAGGCGGCCUUUUAAGUCAGCGGUGAAAGUCUGUGGCUCAACCAUAGAAUCGCCGUUGAAACUGGGAGGCUUGAGUAUGUUUGAGGCAGGCGGAAUGCGUGGUGUAGCGGUGAAAUGCUUAGAUAUCACGCAGAACCCCGAUUGCGAAGGCAGCCUGCCAAGCCAUGACUGACGCUGAUGCACGAAAGCGUGGGGAUCAAACAGGAUUAGAUACCCUGGUAGUCCACGCAGUAAACGAUGAUCACUAGCUGUUUGCGAUACAGUGUAA
This 637-nucleotide ribosomal RNA is filed under the name uncultured bacterium. RNAcentral's name for it is "bacterial SSU rRNA". It matches the Rfam family "Bacterial small subunit ribosomal RNA", at positions 202 to 842 of the family's 1533-position model. The record is from RNAcentral.